GACGAACGCUGGCGGCGUGCUUAACACAUGCAAGUCGAACGGACAGGCCCUGCUUUUGUGGGGUGCUCGAGUGGCGAACGGGUGAGUAACACGUGAGUAACCUGCCCUUGACUUUGGGAUAACUUCAGGAAACUGGGGCUAAUACCGGAUAGGAUCUCCUGCUGCAUGUUGGGGGUUGGAAAGUGUCGGCUGUUCGGGAUGGACUCGCGGCUUAUCAGCUGGUUGGUGGGGUAGGUGCUUACCAAGCCUUUGACGGGUAGCCGGCAUGGGAGGGUUACCGGGGACCUUGGGACUGAGAUACGGAGCAGAAUCCUAUGGGCGGCAGCAGUCGAGAAUAUUGCAGAAUGGGGGGAAGCCUGAUGCAGCAAUGCCGCGUGCGGGAUGACGUCUUUCGGGUUGUAAACCGAUUUGGAAUGUGACGAAGCGUGAGUGACGGUAAUGGGUAAAGAAGCACCGGCUAACUACGUG
This 468-nucleotide ribosomal RNA is filed under the name uncultured bacterium. RNAcentral's name for it is "partial 16S ribosomal RNA". It matches the Rfam family "Bacterial small subunit ribosomal RNA", at positions 28 to 507 of the family's 1533-position model. The record is from RNAcentral.